CGCGUAGGCGGCCUUGUAAGUCAGAUGUGAAAGCCCCGGGCUUAACCUGGGAAUUGCGUUCGAUACUGCGAAACUAGAGUACGGUAGAGGGAAGUGGAAUUCCGGGUGUAGCGGUGAAAUGCGUAGAUAUCCGGAGGAACACCAGUGGCGAAGGCGACUUCCUGGGCCAGUACUGACGCUGAGGUGCGAAAGCGUGGGGAGCAAACA
This 207-nucleotide ribosomal RNA is filed under the name uncultured bacterium. RNAcentral describes it as "partial 16S ribosomal RNA". It matches the Rfam family "Bacterial small subunit ribosomal RNA", at positions 568 to 774 of the family's 1533-position model. The record is from RNAcentral.